Molecule: unclassified non-coding RNA, 293 nt
Filed under: Hevea brasiliensis (rubber tree)
Lineage: Eukaryota; Viridiplantae; Streptophyta; Magnoliopsida; Malpighiales; Euphorbiaceae
Source: RNAcentral
UGCUCCAAAUCAAAUAGCCUCACAAGAGAUGAUAACAUUAUUGAGACAAAGCAAAGAAAUAAGUGUUAAAAGAAAAAGUGAACUCUAUCCUGUCUAGUUCAAAGUGAACACCUUAUAGAUCCCAAGAGGCAUGCGUUUCUUAUUAAAAGUAAAAACCGUGAGGCUAACCAAUAAUUGCUCUGCGUAGGCAAGAGAAUCCUCAAUGAGACGUACAACCCUAAUUCAAAUAGAAACAUCAUCAACACACAACUGAAACAAAGAAGGAACCAAACCAUGAAAAACUCAGUUGAAAG